RNAcentral lists this small RNA (354 nucleotides) under Oryza sativa Japonica Group (Japanese rice). RNAcentral's name for it is "misc RNA Os03g0130800". Lineage: Eukaryota; Viridiplantae; Streptophyta; Magnoliopsida; Poales; Poaceae. The record is from RNAcentral.
CCGAUGAUAAUGUUUCGGAUGGGCAGCAUCUGGCAUCCAAUGUGUAACAUUAUACUAGUGGAGGUAUACAAGCAGGGAGGGAGGCAAGUGCAUAGGUGUGCCUUUUUCCUGCGAGGAUUGAUCCGAUUCCAGGUUGUAUGAGACUGGCGGAUGGACGACUGCUGCAACUCCACCCCAGUUGAGCUGAGUAGCAAGUAGCCUGAGUCACCAAAAUCUUGCUCUGAGCCCCUGACAUGAUUCUGUGUUGACAUUUUCACUGACAUGAUUAUGUAGUGUUUUAACAUUUGUUGAUGUUGCUCUUGACUGUACUUCUUGCUCUGGAAUCUGGGAUACCCGGAUACAUAUGCUGUUGAU